GGGUCAGUAGGUUGGUCGUGCCACCGGUACGUACUGGUCUCACUGAUUCCUCCUUCCUGAAGAACCGUAAUGCCAUUAAUUUGGUGUUGCGGGGAAACAGGACUGUUACUUUGAAAAAAUUAGAGUGUUUAAAGCAAGCCAACGCUUGAAUACAUUAGCAUGGAAUAAUGAAAUAGGACGAUCGAUCCUAUUUUGUUGGCUUCUAGGAUUGACGUA
This 216-nucleotide ribosomal RNA is filed under the name Glomeromycotina sp. RNAcentral's name for it is "partial small subunit ribosomal RNA". The stretch from base 44 to 216 matches the Rfam family "Eukaryotic small subunit ribosomal RNA", at positions 690 to 864 of the family's 1831-position model. Lineage: Eukaryota; Fungi; Glomeromycota. The record is from RNAcentral.